GGGGUGUUAGGGCACGACACCGGAGAGGGAGCCUGAGAAACUGCUACCACAUCCAAGGAUGGCAGCAGGCGCGCAAAUUACCCAAUCCCGACACGGGGAGGUAGUGACAAUAAAUAACAAUACGGGGUUCUUUAGGAUCUCGUAAUUGGAAUGAGUACAAUUUAAAUCUCUUAACGAGGAACAAUUGGGAGGGCAAGUCUGGUGCCAGCAGCCGCGGUAAUUCCAGCUCCAAUAGCGUAUAUUAAAGUUGUUGCAGUUAAAAAGCUCGUAGUUGAAUUUCGGGGUUAGUAGGUUGGUCAUGCCUCUGGUAUGUACUGGUCUCACUGAUUCCUCCUUCCUGAUGAACCUUAAUGCCAUUAAUUUGGUGUUUUGGGGAAUUUGGACUGUUACUUUGAAAAAAUUAGAGUGUUUAAAGCAAGCUAACGCUUGAAUACAUUAGCAUGGAAUAAUGAAAUAGGACGUUCGAUCCUAUUUUGUUGGUUUCUAGGAUUGACGUAAUGAUUAAUAGGGAUAGUUGGGGGCAUUAGUAUUCAAUUGUCAGAGGUGAAAUUCUUGGAUUUAUUGAAGACUAACUACUGCGAAAGCAUUUGCCAAGGAUGUUUUCAUUAAUCAAGAACGAAAGUUAGGGGAUCGAAGACGAUCAGAUACCGUCGUAGUCUUAACCAUAAACUAUGCCGACUAGGAUCGGAUGAUGUUAAUUUUUUAAUGACUCAWUCGGCGCCUUACGGAACA
Molecule: ribosomal RNA, 732 nt
Filed under: uncultured Rhizophagus
Lineage: Eukaryota; Fungi; Glomeromycota; Glomeromycetes; Glomerales; Glomeraceae
Description: SSU rRNA
Rfam family: Eukaryotic small subunit ribosomal RNA
Source: RNAcentral